GGUUGAAAUGAAGCAUAGAACUCUCCAAUAGGACCAGAUUAAAAUUUUUUUUUUGUU
This 57-nucleotide small RNA is filed under the name Caenorhabditis elegans. Its description in RNAcentral is "Unclassified non-coding RNA C11H1.11". The record is from RNAcentral. Lineage: Eukaryota; Metazoa; Nematoda; Chromadorea; Rhabditida; Rhabditidae.